Molecule: ribosomal RNA, 390 nt
Filed under: Dicrateria sp.
Lineage: Eukaryota; Haptophyta; Isochrysidales; Isochrysidaceae
Description: partial small subunit ribosomal RNA
Rfam family: Eukaryotic small subunit ribosomal RNA
Source: RNAcentral
AUUCCAGCUCCAAUAGCGUAUAUUAAAGUUGUUGCAGUUAAAACGCUCGUAGUCGGAUUUCGGGGCGGCUUCGUCGGUCUGCCGAUGGGUAUGCACUGACGCGGGCGUCCUUCCUUCCGGAGACGCGUCCUACUCUUAGCUGAGCGGGGCGUGGAGACGGAUCGUUUACUUUGAAAAAAUCAGAGUGUUUCAAGCAGGCAUCAUCGCUCUUGCAUGGAUUAGCAUGGGAUAAUGAAAUAGGACCUUGGUGCUAUUUUGUUGGUUUCGAGCACCGAAGUAAUGAUUAACAGGGACAGUCAGGGGCACUCGUAUUCCGCCGAGAGAGGUGAAAUUCUCAGACCAGCGGAAGACGAACCACUGCGAAAGCAUUUGCCAGGGAUGUUUUCAUUG